RNAcentral lists this ribosomal RNA (428 nucleotides) under uncultured bacterium. Its description in RNAcentral is "bacterial SSU rRNA". It matches the Rfam family "Bacterial small subunit ribosomal RNA", at positions 355 to 776 of the family's 1533-position model. The record is from RNAcentral.
UCGAGAAUUUUUCACAAUGGGGGAAACCCUGAUGGAGCGACGCCGCGUGGAGGAUGAAGGUUUUCGGAUUGUAAACUCCUGUCAUUAGAGAACAAGGCACACGGUUUAACUGGCCGUGUGUUGAUAGUAUCUGAAGAGGAAGAGACGGCUAACUCUGUGCCAGCAGCCGCGGUAAUACAGAGGUCUCAAGCGUUGUUCGGAUUCAUUGGGCGUAAAGGGUGCGUAGGUGGCGAGGUAAGUCGGAUGUGAAAUCUCCAAGCUCAACUUGGAAACUGCAUUCGAUACUGCUUUGCUCGAGGACUGUAGAGGGCAUUGGAAUUCACGGUGUAGCAGUGAAAUGCGUAGAUAUCGUGAGGAAGACCAGUGGCGAAGGCGAAUGCCUGGGCAGUUCCUGACACUGAGGCACGAAGGCCAGGGGAGCAAACGGG